RNAcentral lists this transfer RNA (58 nucleotides) under Gemmatimonadota bacterium. RNAcentral describes it as "Gemmatimonadetes bacterium (marine metagenome) tRNA-Arg". It matches the Rfam family "tRNA", at positions 8 to 62 of the family's 71-position model. From Rfam's summary of the family: Transfer RNA (tRNA) molecules are approximately 80 nucleotides in length. Their secondary structure includes four short double-helical elements and three loops (D, anti-codon, and T loops). The record is from RNAcentral. Lineage: Bacteria; Pseudomonadati; Gemmatimonadota.
UAGCUCAGUUGGAUAGAGCGCGUGCCUCCGGAGCACGAGGUCGCAGGUUCGAAUCCUG